Molecule: long non-coding RNA, 481 nt
Filed under: Bos indicus x Bos taurus (hybrid cattle)
Lineage: Eukaryota; Metazoa; Chordata; Mammalia; Artiodactyla; Bovidae
Description: lncRNA (ENSBIXG00005007310.1)
Source: RNAcentral
CAGCUGCCCCGGACAGCCGGGCGCUGAGUAAGGACCCGGCAGGGCGCCGCAGAGAGCGCUUUUAGCCUGUGUUGUCUACCGCCCACCUCGCCUCACCAGGCCGGCUCUUCUAGAGAACCGCUUAGCCCUCCCGGGUCUGCAAGUGGCCAGACCUGCUCCUGUGAGGCUUUCUCAGGAGCUUCCUCAAAAUCCAGCGUUUCUGAAGCUUAGGAACAGACGCUUUCUGUGUUGUUCUGAAAAACGCUUGUAAGGAGAAGAAUUCUUGCUAUGGAAGAGCUCAGGAGAGGCCACAGUUGAACUCAGACACCAGGAGAGAGAGACUUUGAAUCUGCCUGAAAGCCAUUCUAUUUUUGAUGACAAUGUGCAGACAAAUACUUUGAAGUUUGUCUUUGGAUGGAAGUUAGGGAGAGAUGAAAAUUUAAGAGAAGCAGCACUAUGCGGGCAAAGGAUUAGGAGCAAACAGUCAAACAUUUUUUCCUAA